GACGAACCGGACAAACGUUAUUCGGAAUUACUGGGCUUAAAGGGUUUGUAGGCGGCCUUGUAAGUCAGGUGUGAAAUCCCUCGGCUCAACCGAGGAACGUCGAUCGAUACUGCUGUUCUUGAGGAUUGCAGAGGAGACUGGAAUUCCCGGUGUAGCGGUGAAAUGUGUAGAGAUCGGGAGGAACACCGGUGGCGAAGGCGGGUCUCUGGGCAAUUCCUGACGCUGAGGCGCGAAAGCGUGGGGAGCAAACGGG
This 253-nucleotide ribosomal RNA is filed under the name uncultured bacterium. Its description in RNAcentral is "partial 16S ribosomal RNA". It matches the Rfam family "Bacterial small subunit ribosomal RNA", at positions 524 to 776 of the family's 1533-position model. The record is from RNAcentral.